This is a microRNA precursor of Oryza sativa Indica Group (long-grained rice), 205 nucleotides long. It matches the Rfam family "MIR812 microRNA precursor family". Lineage: Eukaryota; Viridiplantae; Streptophyta; Magnoliopsida; Poales; Poaceae. The record is from Rfam.
CCUAAGUGUAAGUUUAUACUAAUCAUCUUCAACAUUUGACUAUUCGUCUUAUUUAAAAAAAUUGUGAUUAGUAUUUCUUUUAUUAUUUGUUGAUAAAACAUGAAUAACACUUUACGUGUAACUAAUUUUUUUUUAUUUUUUAUAAAUUUUUUAAAUAAGACGGAUAGUCAAACGUUGUAAACAGAUACCCACAACUGCACUUAUU